RNAcentral lists this long non-coding RNA (379 nucleotides) under Mytilus galloprovincialis (Mediterranean mussel). The record is from RNAcentral. Lineage: Eukaryota; Metazoa; Mollusca; Bivalvia; Mytilida; Mytilidae.
GUCAGUAUUGCAAUAUUUUAUGUAUUUUACAGAGCUCCUUGUACUUCAAUUGUUUGAUAGAUGGGUUUUUUUUUCAAUGAGUUUUGAAAGUGAAAGUACAAAUGUACUUUUUCCUUAAAUCUAUAUACUGUAACUUUAUAUUAUACAUAAGAUAUGCAAAUUAUGCUUAAUACAUUAUGAGAACAAGAUUCUUAUGUAAACCUACCUUCCGUGGCUAAUUCAUUUAAAUUUGGCAAGCACGUGGUGAAAGUAAUUAUAAUCCACACAAAAAAUGACAAAUGAAUUUACCGUUAUACCGGACAACAGAGAAAUACAUUAAACCACAAAUCAAAUUCGGAACACGCUUAAAUAACCCGUGAUUCUGUUUUUAUCCCCAACA